GCAACCCUUGAUCUUAGUUGCCAGCAUUCAGUUGGGCACUCUAAGGUGACUGCCGGUGACAAACCGGAGGAAGGUGGGGAUGACGUCAAAUCAUCAUGCCCCUUAUGACCUGGGCUACACACGUGCUACAAUGGACAGAACAAAGGGCAGCAAAACCGCGAGGUUAAGCCAAUCCCACAAAUCUGUUCUCAGUUCGGAUCGCAGUCUGCAACUCGACUGCGUGAAGCUGGAAUCGCUAGUAAUCGCGGAUCAGCAUGCCGCGGUGAAUACGUUCCCGGGCCUUGUACACACCGCCCGUCACACCACGAGAGUUUGUAACACCCGAAGUCGGUGAGGUAACCUUUUAGGAGCCAGCCGCCGAAGGUGGGACAGAUGAUUGGGGUGAAGUCGUAACAAGGUAGCCGUAUCGGAAGGUGCGGCUGGAUCACCUCCUUUCUAA
RNAcentral lists this ribosomal RNA (439 nucleotides) under Bacillus velezensis. RNAcentral's name for it is "bacterial SSU rRNA". It matches the Rfam family "Bacterial small subunit ribosomal RNA", at positions 1098 to 1533 of the family's 1533-position model. Lineage: Bacteria; Bacillati; Bacillota; Bacilli; Caryophanales; Bacillaceae. The record is from RNAcentral.